UAAAGGAGAUGGCGGUCCUACUACAUCCGCCCUGCUUAUCCCCAUCCUUUCCAA
RNAcentral lists this small RNA (54 nucleotides) under Arabidopsis thaliana (thale cress). RNAcentral's name for it is "ATSL206670". The record is from RNAcentral. Lineage: Eukaryota; Viridiplantae; Streptophyta; Magnoliopsida; Brassicales; Brassicaceae.